Molecule: long non-coding RNA, 1077 nt
Filed under: Salmo trutta (river trout)
Lineage: Eukaryota; Metazoa; Chordata; Actinopteri; Salmoniformes; Salmonidae
Description: lncRNA (ENSSTUG00000009147.1)
Source: RNAcentral
CAGACCUCCAGUGCUCCUCCACGGCCCAGGAUAUCCUGCACCAGUUCUAUGCACUAUGUCGCCAGUGCGCCUGCACAGCCCAGUUCGUCCUGUGCCAGCGCUCUGCCCUUGCCGGGCUAAAGUAAGCGUUCAGCCAGGACGGGUUGUGCCAGCCAUACGCUCCAGACCUCCAGUGCGCCUCCACGGCCCAGUAUAUCCAGCGCCAGUUCUACGCACUGUGUCGCCAGUGCACCUGCACAGCCCAGUUCGUCCUGUGCCAGCGCUUCGCCCUUGCCGGGCUAAAGUAAGCGUACAGCCAGGACGGGUUGUGCUAGCCCUAAGCUCCAGACCUCCAGUGCGCCUCCACGGCCCAGUAUACCCUGUGCCUGCUCUGUGCACCCAGUCUCUAGUGCGUCUCCCCAGUCCGGUGAGACCUGUUCCGGCUCCACGUAAGAAGCCUCCAGUGAUGAUCCAUGGUCCGAAGCCUCCAGUGAUGAUCCAUGGCACGAAGCCUCCAGUGAUGAUCCAUGGCACGAAGCCUCCAGUGAUGAUCCAUGGCCCGGAGCCUGUAGGGAUAAUCCAUGGCCCGCAGCCUGUAGGGAUGAUCCAUGGCACAAAGCCUCCAGUGAUAAUCCAUGGCCCGGAGUCUCAAGUGAUAAUCCAUGGCAAGAAACCUGUAGGGAUGAUCCAUGGCCCGGAGCCUGUAGUGAUGAUCCAUGGCAUGGAGCCUGUAGCGACGGUCCCCAGUCCGGAACCUCCUGAGACAGACUACAGUCCGGAAUCUCCUGAGACAGCCUGCAGCCCAGAGUCUUCAGCGGCGGCCUGCAGCCCAGAGUCUUCAGCGGCGGCCUGCAGCCCAGAGUCUUCAGCGGCGGCCUGCAGUCCAGAGUCUUCAGCGGCGGUCGGCAGUUCAGAGCCUCCGGCGAUGAUCCUCACUCUGGUUCCUCCGGCGACACAGAAGCGGGGGGAUCAGCGGGCGGAGUGGGGGCUACGCCCCGAACCAGAGCCACCGCCAAGAAUAGAUGCCCACCCGGACCCUCCCCUAUAAGUUCAGGUUUGCGGCUGGGAGUCCGCACCUUUGGGGGGGUACUGUCACGC